UCGGUCUGGUGGCGAGUGGCGAACGGGUGAGUAAUGUAUCGGAACGUGCCCAGUAGCGGGGGAUAACUACGCGAAAGCGUAGCUAAUACCGCAUACGCCCUACGGGGGAAAGCAGGGGAUCGCAAGACCUUGCACUAUUGGAGCGGCCGAUAUCGGAUUAGCUAGUUGGUGGGGUAACGGCUCACCAAGGCGACGAUCCGUAGCUGGUUUGAGAGGACGACCAGCCACACUGGGACUGAGACACGGCCCAGACUCCUACGGGAGGCAGCAGUGGGGAAUUUUGGACAAUGGGGGAAACCCUGAUCCAGCCAUCCCGCGUGUGCGAUGAAGGCCUUCGGGUUGUAAAGCACUUUUGGCAGGAAAGAAACGUCGCGGGUUAAUACCUCGCGAAACUGACGGUACCUGCAGAAUAAGCACCGGCUAACUACGUGCCAGCAGCCGCGGUAAUACGUAGGGUGCAAGCGUUAAUCGGAAUUACUGGGCGUAAAGCGUGCGCAGGCGGUUCGGAAAGAAAGAUGUGAAAUCCCAGAGCUUAACUUUGGAACUGCAUUUUUAACUACCGGGCUAGAGUGUGUCAGAGGGAGGUGGAAUUCCGCGUGUAGCAGUGAAAUGCGUAGAUA
RNAcentral lists this ribosomal RNA (620 nucleotides) under Achromobacter xylosoxidans. RNAcentral's name for it is "bacterial SSU rRNA". It matches the Rfam family "Bacterial small subunit ribosomal RNA", at positions 80 to 696 of the family's 1533-position model. The record is from RNAcentral. Lineage: Bacteria; Pseudomonadati; Pseudomonadota; Betaproteobacteria; Burkholderiales; Alcaligenaceae. RNAcentral also lists the same sequence under 1 other name.